RNAcentral lists this ribosomal RNA (1539 nucleotides) under Oscillospiraceae bacterium HV4-5-C5C. RNAcentral describes it as "bacterial SSU rRNA". It matches the Rfam family "Bacterial small subunit ribosomal RNA". Lineage: Bacteria; Bacillati; Bacillota; Clostridia; Eubacteriales; Oscillospiraceae. The record is from RNAcentral.
UUUAAUUGAGAGUUUGAUCCUGGCUCAGGAUGAACGCUGGCGGCGUGCCUAACACAUGCAAGUCGAACGGAGAUUUAAGGAAGCACUCUUCGGAGCUAAUCCAUAAAUCUUAGUGGCGGACGGGUGAGUAACACGUGAGGAACCUACCCUUGACAGGGGGAUAACAACGGGAAACCGUUGCUAAUACCGCAUGAGAUCUUAAGCUGGCAUCAGCAAGAGAUUAAAGGAGCAAUCCGGUCAAAGAUGGACUCGCGUCCGAUUAGUUAGUUGGUGAGGUAAUGGCUCACCAAGACCGCGAUCGGUAGCCGGACUGAGAGGUUGAACGGCCACAUUGGGACUGAGAUACGGCCCAGACUCCUACGGGAGGCAGCAGUGGGGAAUAUUGGGCAAUGGGCGCAAGCCUGACCCAGCAACGCCGCGUGAAGGAAGAAGGCCCUCGGGUUGUAAACUUCUUUGAUCAGGGACGAAAAUGACGGUACCUGAAGAACAAGCCACGGCUAACUACGUGCCAGCAGCCGCGGUAAUACGUAGGUGGCAAGCGUUAUCCGGAUUUACUGGGUGUAAAGGGCGUGUAGGCGGGUUUGCAAGUUGGAUGUGAAAACUCCAGGCUUAACCUGGAGAUGUCAUCCAAAACUGCAGAUCUUGAGUGUUGGAGAGGAAAGCGGAAUUCCUAGUGUAGCGGUAAAAUGCGUAGAGAUUAGGAAGAACACCGGUGGCGAAGGCGGCUUUCUGGACAAUAACUGACGCUGAGACGCGAAAGCGUGGGGAGCAAACAGGAUUAGAUACCCUGGUAGUCCACGCCGUAAACGAUGAAUACUAGGUGUAGGGGGUAUCGACCCCCCCUGUGCCGUCGUUAACACAAUAAGUAUUCCACCUGGGGAGUACGGCCGCAAGGCUGAAACUCAAAGGAAUUGACGGGGGCCCGCACAAGCAGUGGAGUAUGUGGUUUAAUUCGACGCAACGCGAAGAACCUUACCAGGGCUUGACAUCCUCUGACGAUGGUAGAGAUAUCAUUUCCCUUCGGGGCAGAGAGACAGGUGGUGCAUGGUUGUCGUCAGCUCGUGUCGUGAGAUGUUAGGUUAAGUCCUGCAACGAGCGCAACCCCUAUUGCCAGUUGCUAACACGUAAAGGUGAGCACUCAGGCGAGACUGCCGUUGACAAAACGGAGGAAGGUGGGGACGACGUCAAAUCAUCAUGCCCCUUAUGUCCUGGGCUACACACGUACUACAAUGGCUGUCACAGAGGGCAGCGACACCGCGAGGUGAAGCGAAUCCCAAAAGGCAGUCUCAGUUCGGAUUGCAGGCUGAAACCCGCCUGCAUGAAGUCGGAAUUGCUAGUAAUGGCAGGUCAGCAUACUGCCGUGAAUACGUUCCCGGGCCUUGUACACACCGCCCGUCACACCAUGAGAGUCUGUAACACCCGAAGUCAGUAGUCUAACCGCAAGGGGGACGCUGCCGAAGGUGGGAUAGAUGAUUGGGGUGAAGUCGUAACAAGGUAGCCGUAUCGGAAGGUGCGGCUGGAUCACCUCCUUUCUAAGGA